AUAUCCUCUCGAGAACCCAUUUCAUGCCAGAUAUGUAAAUGUAUGCGAAUUUUGCUUUUUACCGUUUUUUAAUUUACCCAUAGUACUUCAGAAUAGUAAAAGGAACCAAACUUACCUAGGAAAUAUUCUAGGGAUCCUUAAAGAAAAAAAUCAAUUCAUGACAUCAGCUGCCGAGAUGUUAACCAAAGAAGCAUGGCAAAUGGCUAACCUCCUCGACUUAAGUGAUGAAUCUCCAUGAUUUACAACAACUUUUCCUCAAGAAUAAGGUGUUUUCCUGGGUCAACACUGAACACAUCCACGAAAUUGAACAUCGAGUUUGAGAGAUACGUCAAGAGGUUAAAAUUGCUCAACACCUGCUAUUGUGAUGUUGUGUCGAGCAGCUGAGGAGGAAUUCACUGACGUUACGCGGCGUUUAGACAGGU
This 422-nucleotide long non-coding RNA is filed under the name Homarus americanus (American lobster). Its description in RNAcentral is "uncharacterized LOC121862206, transcript variant X1". The record is from RNAcentral. Lineage: Eukaryota; Metazoa; Arthropoda; Malacostraca; Decapoda; Nephropidae.